AGACAAUCUAGACCUGCCCAGUUACAUAGUCUCCGUAGGAGGCGAGUAAGCAGCCCUCAGUGAUUCCCGAGAGAACUCGGGUGACAUCGGAUUCACUCGGAAAUGUAGAUGUUGGGGAUUUCCGGGAUUCCUCUGAGGCGAGGUGGGAAUCAAGGAUGAGCAACAGCGACAGGGAACAGAUUCCCUCUCCCUCCUAUGUUCCUGUAGCCACCCAUCGAUCCGGAUGGUCAAGGCUAUGAGGGAGUCAAGGUCCGGGCAGCUCCCGGGCUGCGAGGUCAUCUAAAAUCACCUCCGAUAAUCUGGGAAGGAACAUGUCUAACAAGGCUUCCGUGUUCCAGGCACUCUCAGCCGCCAACGUGCGAAAAUCCACUGCGUAGUCUGCCACACUACUGGAGUCUUGACAUACCUGUUGCAGCUUACGAGUAGCCUCUCUCCCGGACAACGGAGAAUCUCACACCUUACAUACCUCCGCCACAAACUCCUCCAGUCUGAGACAAACAGCGUACUAUUGCUCCCACACCACCAUAGAUCAGGCGAGGGCACUCCCGGACAUCAGCGUUAUGAGGUAUGCUGUCUUCGUGCGGUCCAAGGGGACGAAGAAGGCUGCAGCUUGAAGAUGAGGGAUCACUGGGAGAGAAAGGCCCGGCAGGUUCCAAAAUCUCCAGCGUAGUGCUCCGGAGGGGGUAGCGAGAGAAUCCCUCCAUAAGGCAUUGCAGUAACUCCAAUGGUGGCUCCUUGCUGCGAGACAGCGUUGUGGAGCUGGGUCAGUCAUGGCCAGUUCGUACUAUGUUUUUCAAGUCAACCAGCGGUUUUCUUGUACUUCUCCUUCUAUUCUAUUUUUGCUAAUCUUCCUGGUUUUGACCCUUUCCUGUUUUCUGGACUCCGUACCCGCCUGCCUGACCGUUCUGCCGGCCGCUCUGUACCUCCUGGACUCUGAACUGGUUUUGACCUUUUGCCUGUCCAUUCUCUUGCCUACCCCUUUUAGAUGGUUUGAGUGUUUGUUUAAUAAAUAUCAAUCUGCCUCCCGUGUCUGCAUCUGGGUCUCACCUUGUGCCCUUAUAGGGCCAACUUCUUGGAAUGAAAUACAAUAACGUACGAAAACCCAAAGUGACGGUCUACUCAGAGUCCAACCCUGAGUCGAAUGUGAACACCCUGCUAUGUCUGGCUGGAGACAUGUUUCCAGACUUGGUCAAGAUCUCAUGGAAGAUGGAGGAUGAAAACGGCAGAGCAGUCGAGGUGCCUAAAGCAGAGGGGGAACAACUGGAGCAGAGGGAGGAAGGACAGACGACCAGUAUGAUCAUCACUGAUAAAGAGAAGAUUUACAGGAACAAAUACAUCUGUUCUGUGGAGCAUGAAGGGGGCCCUCAAGAUGUUUACAUGCUAAAAGAUCAACCAACUGAAGCUCCGCCAACCACCGUGGCUGCACCAACCUGUUCGUUCAGAAAUGACACACAGCAGUCACAGUCUCUACAUCUUACCGAUGAUUCCUUCCAGUCAACGUUUAGUCUGAACCUGGCCUCUAUCCUUUACACAGUGAUGAUAGUGAAGAGCAUGGUGUACUGCUGUGGGCUCUCUAUCCUGCUGCACCACAGGAGCUUGGGAAGAGGACCCAGCACCUGUAGACACAUUUAUUGAAAGGAUACCCCCCCCCCAUUUAUGGAUAGAGUUGUAGUGGGCUGGGAGUAACAUGGAUUUUACAUGCCAUUGAGGUCUAACAUUUCAUUUGUAUUGCUUUUAUUUUUCCUGCUUUAUUUUUUAGAUGCUACAAUAUUGUGAGCCAUAGAUUUCCAUGUCUUCUAAUAGCUUCAACUGCCAAAUAUGACAAUUGCAGCACAUUUAAUUGUGUAUAUGGAGUAUUGUUUCCCUCCUUAUGUGGGAGCUACCCACUGCAGACACAUGAAUAAAGAUUAAGUUAAGGUUUUCUGAAAAAUAAGCAGAGCAAAUCUUGAAUGUAAAUACAUUAUGAUUUUAAUUUAGACUUGUUUUGUUAGUUGCCCUGCAAUAUGUCAUAGAGGUAGGCCUAAAUUAUACUCACAACCUGUAUUUAAUUUAUACAAAAUAUGUCAUUAUUAAAUAUGUAGGCCCAUGAGUUCUAAAUCAUUAUCCAAUAUAAUAUUUAGUAACUUGUCUUGAAGUGUAAUUUUUCUCAAGAAAUUACUUUGUUUCACAUCUCAAUAAAUGAAUAAGAGAAUCAAUUUUUGCUUUAAAUUCUAAAUGCUGAGUGCUUAUUGAGCAUAAAAAUUGGGCUAUGCGCAAAAUAAUUUAUUGGUGCUUUUGUACAUUAAUACAAUGUUUUUUUAUACAGCUUUUAUGAAGAGUAACACAGCCUGCUCAAAUGAACCAAGUUGCUCAAAAUAAUAAUAUCCUUUCAGAUGAGGAUGGAUUUAAUAAACGCAGCCUUUGUGAACGAAAAGUUACAACAAUGGUUCUGCAAAUGAUUGUAAAUAACUUUUUUACAGUUCCUUGCUAACCCCCCCCCCAAAAAAAACAUUGCAUUUCUUUACUAUAAGAUCAUCUAUUCAUAUUUGUGAAUGUUAUUUGAUUAAAUCUCAUCAGCAGCAGAACAAUAAAAUUGUAAGAUCCCCCAUUCUCUGUUUUCAACUUGUUUGCUUCAAUGUGCAUGUUCCAACACAGAUGUUGAGCCUAGACUCAAUAGUGGUGGGAAAAUGUGGUUAAUUUAUAUUUGGUUUUCUAAAGAAAUGUGAAACGGUACUUACUGGAAACAAGAUAUAGCUAGCUGCAUAACCACAGCUCGAGCGUGUGAUGAGUUGGUUAUCCAAAGCUGCUGGAUGAUUAGUUUUUAUCUUGAACCGUUUUCUGCUCUAUUUGUGGGUUCGGCUCCUGCCAUCAAAUUGAAGAAUAUGACAGCGAUGGCAGACAAAACGAGUCCAUAAUGGUAGCUUAUGGUUCUUUCAUUUGUAGAAUUAUAGCCCUAUGACAAAACAAGCUCUUACUUCUGUUUGUGUACUUUUUACCUUGAAACAAUCAAAUUAAAUGAAAUCAGAGUUGA
RNAcentral lists this long non-coding RNA (3010 nucleotides) under Salmo salar (Atlantic salmon). RNAcentral describes it as "lncRNA (ENSSSAG00000111684.1)". The record is from RNAcentral. Lineage: Eukaryota; Metazoa; Chordata; Actinopteri; Salmoniformes; Salmonidae.